This 336-nucleotide ribosomal RNA is filed under the name Shigella boydii. Its description in RNAcentral is "bacterial LSU rRNA". It matches the Rfam family "Bacterial large subunit ribosomal RNA", at positions 1 to 364 of the family's 2925-position model. The record is from RNAcentral. Lineage: Bacteria; Pseudomonadati; Pseudomonadota; Gammaproteobacteria; Enterobacterales; Enterobacteriaceae.
GGGUUGUGAGGUUAAGCGACUAAGCGUACACGGUGGAUGCCCUGGUAGUCAGAGGCGAUGAAGGACGUGCUAAUCUGCGAUAAGCGUCGGUAAGGUGAUAUGAACCGUUAUAACCGGCGAUUUCCGAAUGGGGAAACCCAGUGUGAUUCGUCACACUAUUAUUAACUGAAUCCAUAGGUUAAUGAGGCGAACCGGGGGAACUGAAACAUCUAAGUACCCCGAGGAAAAGAAAUCAACCGAGAUUCCCCCAGUAGCGGCGAGCGAACGGGGAGCAGCCCAGAGCCUGAAUCAGUGUGUGUGUUAGUGGAAGCGUCUGGAAAGGCGUGCGAUACAGGG